Molecule: unclassified non-coding RNA, 200 nt
Filed under: soil metagenome
Description: partial contains internal transcribed spacer 2 and large subunit ribosomal RNA
Source: RNAcentral
AUAAACAAACGGCUCGUCUGAAAUGCCUGAGUGUACCCCGCUUUGCGGCGUAUUCGGUGUGAUAAAUCUUCACCGGAGUUGAUCCCUUUAUGGGGUCGCGUCUGUAAUGGUGUGGCUCUAUGCUUCAAACCGUCUUUUAUUAAGAGACAAAUCUCUGACAAUUUGACCUCAAAUCGGGUGGGACUACCCGCUGAACUUAA